GACGAACGCUGGCGGCGUGCUUAACACAUGCAAGUCGAACGGCAGCGCGGGCUUCGGCCUGGCGGCGAGUGGCGGACGGGUGAGUAAUGCAUCGGAACGUGCCCAGGAGUGGGGGAUAACGUAGCGAAAGUUACGCUAAUACCGCAUACGUACUGAGGUAGAAAGCGGGGGAUCGAAAGACCUCGCGCUCAUGGAGCGGCCGAUGUCGGAUUAGCUAGUUGGCGGGGUAAAAGCCCACCAAGGCGACGAUCCGUAGCUGGUCUGAGAGGACGACCAGCCACACUGGGACUGAGACACGGCCCAGACUCCUACGGGAGGCAGCAGUGGGGAAUCUUGGACAAUGGGGGAAACCCUGAUCCAGCAAUGCCGCGUGUGGGAUGAAGGCCCUCGGGUUGUAAACCACUUUUGGCAGGAAAGAAAUCGCCUGUGCUAAUACCACGGGCGGAUGACGGUACCUGCAGAAUAAGCACCGGCUAACUACGUGCCAGCCGCCGCAGUAA
This 500-nucleotide ribosomal RNA is filed under the name uncultured bacterium. Its description in RNAcentral is "partial 16S ribosomal RNA". It matches the Rfam family "Bacterial small subunit ribosomal RNA", at positions 28 to 523 of the family's 1533-position model. The record is from RNAcentral.